Molecule: ribosomal RNA, 499 nt
Filed under: uncultured bacterium
Lineage: Bacteria
Description: bacterial SSU rRNA
Rfam family: Bacterial small subunit ribosomal RNA
Source: RNAcentral
CAGGACGAACGCUGGCGGCGUGCUUAACACAUGCAAGUCGAACGGGGAUAUUCGAGCGGAAGGCUUCGGCCGGAAGGUUGGAUAUUCGAGUGGCGGACGGGUGAGUAACGCGUGAACAAUCUGUCCCAGACAGGGGGAUAACACUUGGAAACAGGUGCUAAUACCGCAUAAGACCACAGGGUCGCAUGGUCCAGGGGUAAAAGGAGGAAUCCGGUUUGGGGUGAGUUCGCGUCCGAUUAGCCAGUUGGUGAGGUAACGGCCCACCAAAGCGACGAUCGGUAGCCGACCUGAGAGGGUGAUCGGCCACAUUGGAACUGAGAGACGGUCCAAACUCCUACGGGAGGCAGCAGUGGGGAAUAUUGGGCAAUGGGCCGAAAGCCUGACCCAGCAACGCCGCGUGAGUGAAGAAGGCCUUCGGGUUGUAAAGCUCUGUUAUAGGGGACGAAGGAGUGACGGUACCCUAUAAGGAAGCCCCGGCUAACUACGUGCCAGCCGCGGC